UAAUACAUGCAAGUCGAACGCUUUGUGGUUCAACUGAUAUGAAGAGCUUGCUCGGAUUUGAAGAUGAACAUUGCAAAGAGUGGCGAACGGGUGAGUAACACGUGGGAAACCUACCUCUUAGCGGGGGAUAACACUUGGAAACAAGUGCUAAUACCGCAUAAUACUGAUAACCGCAUGGUUAUCAGUUGAAAGAUGGUUCUGCUAUCACUAAGAGAUGGUCCCGCGGUGUAUUAGCUAGUUGGUAAGGUAAUGGCUUACCAAGGCAAUGAUACAUAGCCGAGUUGAGAGACUGAUCGGCCACAAUGGGACUGAGACACGGCCCAUACUCCUACGGGAGGCAGCAGUAGGGAAUCUUCCACAAUGGACGAAAGUCUGAUGGAGCAACGCCGCGUGUGUGAUGAAGGGUUUCGGCUCGUAAAACACUGUUGUAAGAGAAGAAUGACAUUGAGAGUAACUGUUCAGUGUGUGACGGUAUCUUACCAGAAAGGAACGGCUAAAUACGUGCCAGCAGCCGCGGUAAUACGUAUGUUCCAAGCGUUAUCCGGAUUUAUUGGGCGUAAAGCGAGCGCAGACGGUUGUUUAAGUCUGAAGUGAAAGCCCACAGCUUAACUGUGGAAGUGCUUUGGAAACUGGAUAACUUGAGUGCAGUAGAGGAGAGUGGAACUCCAUGUGUAGCGGUGAAAUGCGUAGAUAUAUGGAAGAACACCAGUGGCGAAGGCGGCUCUCUGGACUGUAACUGACGUUGAGGCUCGAAAGUGUGGGUAGCAAACAGGAUUAGAUACCCUGGUAGUCCACACCGUAAACGAUGAGUGCUAGAUGUUUGAGGGUUUCCGCCCUUAAGUGUCGCAGCUAACGCAUAAGCACUCCGC
Molecule: ribosomal RNA, 869 nt
Filed under: Weissella minor
Lineage: Bacteria; Bacillati; Bacillota; Bacilli; Lactobacillales; Lactobacillaceae
Description: bacterial SSU rRNA
Rfam family: Bacterial small subunit ribosomal RNA
Source: RNAcentral